GCCUGGGUGGCUCAGUCAGAUGAGCGUCUGACUUCAGCUCAGGUCAUGAUCUCAUGGUUUGUGAGUUCGAGCCCCAUGUCAGGCU
Molecule: transfer RNA, 85 nt
Organism: Felis catus (domestic cat)
Lineage: Eukaryota; Metazoa; Chordata; Mammalia; Carnivora; Felidae
Rfam family: tRNA
About the family: Transfer RNA (tRNA) molecules are approximately 80 nucleotides in length. Their secondary structure includes four short double-helical elements and three loops (D, anti-codon, and T loops).
Source: Rfam